RNAcentral lists this ribosomal RNA (698 nucleotides) under Pristimantis lutzae. RNAcentral's name for it is "partial 16S ribosomal RNA". It matches the Rfam family "Bacterial large subunit ribosomal RNA", at positions 846 to 2082 of the family's 2925-position model. The record is from RNAcentral. Lineage: Eukaryota; Metazoa; Chordata; Amphibia; Anura; Strabomantidae.
UAGCUGGUUUCUCNNGANAAGAAUUUAAGUCCAACCUAAAAGUAAUCUCGAUUCACAUAAAUCACCCCACCACUUUAGAGCAAUUCAAAUGAGGUACAGCCCAUUUGAUACAGGAUACAACCUUAACUAACGGGUAACAUUAAAUCUACACCUUCAAGUAGGCCUAAGAGCAGCCACCCUUAAAAGCGUCAAAGCUUAAUCAUGUUUACAUCAAUUUAAAAUCUCCCAUUGACCCCUUUAACUUUACUGAGAAUUUCUAUAUCAUAUAGAACAUUUUAUGCUAAGACUAGUAACAAGAGAAAACCCUCUCCCAAUGCAAACACAAGCCAGCAAGAACCCAUCACUGGCAACUAACAGACCUAGACAAAAGUAGCAACAUCACUAGAAAACCCUACUUCUCACAACUGUUAACCUAACACCAGAGCAUUUCAGGGAAGAUUAAAAGAAAAAGAAGGAACUCGGCAAACACCAAUCCCGCCUGUUUACCAAAAACAUCGCCUCUUGUUACUAUAAGAGGUCAAGCCUGCCCAGUGACUUUGUUCAACGGCCGCGGUAUCCUAACCGUGCGAAGGUAGCGUAAUCACUUGUUUUCUAAAUAAAGACCAGUAUGAAAGGCAUCACGAGGAUUAAACUGUCUCCUUUUUCCAAUCAGUGAACCUAAUCUCCCCGUGAAGAAGCGGGGAUUAUCCUAUAAGACG